GAUUACACCAAUAUACGGCUAUUUUGAUACAUAUUUGUCACCUUUAGAACAUAUAAAAGUAUAUAAUUCACAGCAUCACAUACACGGAAGGGGGAAAAAAUCUUGAUUGAACAAUAGCCCUUUCCAAGCAUAUAGCAACCAUAAACCACACCACAAAAUCAAGUUUAGAGAUAGGCCAUGCUACAUCAACGAGAUAAAACUUCGACGAUUUCAUUUUUCCACAAAGACGACACACAUGUAAUUACACUACAAUAAGGUUUUGCGUCAUAUUAAACAUACAAACAUCACUCAAAUACCACGAUCACUGUCUUCUAAUCAAGUUGGUCGCUUCCCUAUUUCAUUCAAUUUCGGGCUAAUUUUUGACGUCCGAAUGGUCACGUUCAUCAAAAUCUAAAGUUGUUGUUCUUCACUUAGCUGAACCCGAGAUCGGAACAUGUGAGACAUUUCAUCAACUGUUUCGUGCAUAACUCCAUAGUUCCUUCCCGAGCAUUCUACAACGGGAAUGAACCACCAUCGAUAAAUGUGAACUCAAUUGUGUAUGAACUCAAUG
Molecule: long non-coding RNA, 550 nt
Filed under: Olea europaea subsp. europaea
Lineage: Eukaryota; Viridiplantae; Streptophyta; Magnoliopsida; Lamiales; Oleaceae
Source: RNAcentral